Molecule: long non-coding RNA, 1576 nt
Filed under: Pelobates cultripes (western spadefoot toad)
Lineage: Eukaryota; Metazoa; Chordata; Amphibia; Anura; Pelobatidae
Source: RNAcentral
CAAAAGGCUCCUGUAAGGUCUAGCACGCUGUUAACUGUGUAGGACAUAUAAAAUUCUUCAUUAAAAAGACUACAAUAAAGAAAGUAUAAACAUUAGAUUUCACUUUACAGGGCGUGUUUAGGAAGUCUAUGCACAUUACAUUCACAGUGAUUAGGGCUUCAUACACAGGGAAAACCUUUUAAAAAAAGAUUUGGUGGGGCUUCUCAAGUCUGUCACGAUAAAUAGCCUUUUAUCAUGGUCCCUACUGUCCAUCUAUACCUGUAAAGGCUGGAAACAACUGCGGGAGACCGAAAGCAACACACAGAUGCCUUUCUUUUUGCCACCAGGCGCAAAAAAUAGGGAAGCAUGGGGUAAGGCUGAGGGCAUUAAAGCACGCUGUUGCGCCUGGUGGGACCCCGACUGGCUAAUACCAAAACCCACACAAGAACAGUAAAAGUAGCCAGAAGCCAAGGGACACAGAACUUACAGGUGCCCGCUGCAAAAGAAUCCCACGACAUAGGCACAUUGCUCCAUUGUACACCCCAUCAGGAUCAAGAGGGAGACUGUGACCCUGAGACAGACCUCCACACAUCAGCGACUCAUAUCACAGCUCACCCUGCAGGUUUGAUACCUUCUACUAAGCAGGACAUUGACAAUCUAUUUGCACCUUAUGCUUGCGAGAUCCAUCACUCGGGGUCUUCAAGAAGCGGGAAUACGGUACUGAUGGACUGCAACUAAAUUUCUCACGGCAACUCAAGAUGGCAAACUGCUCAAUGCCACCUCUUUUCUGUCCACACUUGAAUUGGGUGAUAGACCACAAGCUCAUGAGAAACAAGCCUCCUCCAGCCCUUGGAAUGUGGAUGCUGUAAAACUCCUUCACCCCAAGACGCUGACAAGUCUCCGUGACUUGAUGGACUAAGCAAAGACCCCUCACUAUAUUCAGUUCUAUUGCUUCUUUUAUGUUUUAUAUUUUCAUUGUUGGCAAUGUUUGCUACAUAUGCUUAUGAUUCCAAAUGUAUGAUUCCAGAUUCCAGUCUGAGCUCGACUUAGCUCAUUCUUUGGAUUUCCAAAGGUAAACCCAAUACCUUCCCCAUUGCAACCCCCAUAGGUUAGGAAAUCAGCUACGUCUUGCAGUCGUGUAAAAAAAAAAAAAAAAAAAAAAGCUAUGUAUUUUUGUUAAGCAGUAUUUUUUUUAAUUAAACAUCUCAAGAUGCCAUAUAAAGGGUCACGAAGAUAUUUGCAACGAUAAGUCAAGCGUACAGUGAAGGUUGACAUUAUUGGGGUGAUAAUAUUGCAGUCGUCAGAGAUUUUUAUGGUCCAUCAUUCAUAACAAUUUUGUCAGGUGAUGAAUACUCAUUCAGUAGGAAAGUAUGGAGAUAAAAGCACAGAAAUGAGUAUAGUUCUGCGUAGUCACACAUUAAAAAUUAUGGGUGUUACAAUUAAGUUGGUGUGAGUGGUCCUAUCGAGUAGGGCUACCUGACCUGUAGUCAUCAGCCUAUAAAAUCUUUUUUUUAUAGUUUAUUUUCUUAAUCUAUACUCUAUUAACGUGUAUUUGCUAGCUAAAGCGUGUCACCAUUGCAAGUAGACUAUGCAGGGC